UACGGAGGGGGCUAGCGUUGUUCGGAAUUACUGGGCGUAAAGCGCGCGUAGGCGGACCUGCAAGUCGGGGGUGAAAGCCCGAGGCUCAACCUCGGAACUGCCUUCGAUACUGCGGGUCUCGAGUCCGGGAGAGGUGAGUGGAAUUCCUAGUGUAGAGGUGAAAUUCGUAGAUAUUAGGAAGAACACCAGUGGCGAAGGCGGCUCACUGGUCCGGUACUGACGCUGAGGAGCGAAAGCGUGGGGAGCGAACAGG
RNAcentral lists this ribosomal RNA (253 nucleotides) under uncultured bacterium. Its description in RNAcentral is "partial 16S ribosomal RNA". It matches the Rfam family "Bacterial small subunit ribosomal RNA", at positions 524 to 776 of the family's 1533-position model. The record is from RNAcentral.